GGGGGUGAACGGUUUCGACUCUGGACGUUGAUUCAGGGGAAGCGUGCAGGUGCAGGCGGAUGGCCACCUAAAGCGUCGCCGCAAACCAAUAUGCGCCAAGGUUAAUUCCAAGGCCGACGUCGCACUCGCCGCCUGAGCGAGUAGUUGACGUCUGUCGGCCCGGGGUCGCCUCCGACCCGGUUUGCCGGCAUCAGCUAGGAGGCUCACCGUCGCGGGUUGGCCGCGGACCCGCGGUGGGACAUCUACAGCGGCUGGGCUCGUCACAUCGGCUUGUUCACGUGACCGAUGGGGCCGAGUAGAGGCACAGUGAACUGCGCACGGAGAAGCCCUGUCGAGACGACAGAGGACCCGGGUUCGAUUCCCGGCACCUCCACGA
RNAcentral lists this transfer-messenger RNA (376 nucleotides) under Actinophytocola xanthii. Its description in RNAcentral is "Standard tmRNA". It matches the Rfam family "transfer-messenger RNA". From Rfam's summary of the family: Bacterial tmRNA, also known as 10Sa RNA or SsrA, is named for its dual tRNA and mRNA-like properties. Its role is to liberate the mRNA from a stalled ribosome. To accomplish this part of the tmRNA is used as a reading frame that ends in a translation stop signal. Lineage: Bacteria; Bacillati; Actinomycetota; Actinomycetes; Pseudonocardiales; Pseudonocardiaceae. The record is from Rfam by way of RNAcentral.